AGUGAACGCUGGCGGCAGGCCUAACACAUGCAAGUCGAGCGGCAGCGCGGGGGCAACCCUGGCGGCGAGCGGCGGACGGGUGAGGAAUUCGUCGGAAUCUGCCUUUUUGUGGGGGAUAACGUAGGGAAACUUACGCUAAUACCGCAUACGUCCUACGGGAGAAAGUGGGGGACCGCAAGGCCUCACGCAGAAAGAUGAGCCGACGACCGAUUAGCUAGUUGGUGGGGUAAAGGCCCACCAAGGCGACGAUCGGUAGCUGGUCUGAGAGGAUGAUCAGCCACACUGGGACUGAGACACGGCCCAGACUCCUACGGGAGGCAGCAGUGGGGAAUAUUGGACAAUGGGCGCAAGCCUGAUCCAGCCAUGCCGCGUGUGUGAAGAAGGCCUUCGGGUUGUAAAGCACUUUUGUCCGGAAAGAAAUCCCUGGAGCUAAUACCUUCGGGGGAUGACGGUACCGGAAGAAUAAGCACCGGCUAACUUCGUA
This 484-nucleotide ribosomal RNA is filed under the name uncultured bacterium. Its description in RNAcentral is "partial 16S ribosomal RNA". It matches the Rfam family "Bacterial small subunit ribosomal RNA", at positions 29 to 507 of the family's 1533-position model. The record is from RNAcentral.